UGAGAGCUGAUAACACCAUUCAACCCGACGAUGGGACACAUGUCGCGGUGAUCAGCGCCUGCUCCACACUUGCUACCGAAUCCAGCGAGAAGAGGGAGAGAGCUCUACACAUCGGGAUGCAAGUCCAUUCAGUACUGAGCAAGGAGAAGAAACAUCUAGGUCUGUUCGUGGCGAAUUGCCUGGUAGACAUGUACUGCAAGUGUGGCGAGCUUGAGGAGGCUCGCAAGGUUUUCCACUCCAUGGGAACUCGGAGUGUUGUGUCCUACACCGCGAUCAUCCAGGGCUGCAACACGAACGGGCGAGCUGAACUUGCUCUGGAGUACUACUCUGCCCUGAGAGUUGAUAACACCAUUCAACCCGAUGAUCGGACUCAUGUCGCGGUGAUCAGCGCCUGCUCCAGACUUGCUACCGAAUCCAGCGAGAAGAGGGAGAGAGCUCUACGCAUCGGGAUGGAGAUCCAUUCAAUUCUGAGCAAGGAGAAGAAACAGGUAGAUCUGUUCGUGGCGACUUGCCUGGUAGACAUGUACUGCAAGUGUGGCGAGCUUGAGGAGGCUCGCAAGAUUUUCCACUCCAUGAGAACUCGGAGUGUUGUCUCCUACAAUGCGAUCAUCCACGGCUGCAACACGAACGGGCGAGCUGAACUUGCUCUGGAGUACUACUCUGCCCUGAGAGCUUGUACCACCAUUCAACCCAACGAUCGGACUCAUGUCGCGGUGAUCAACGCCUGCUCCACACUUGCUACCGAAUCCAGCGAGAAGAGGGAGAGAGCUCUACGCAUCGGGAUGCAAGUCCAUUCAGUACUGAGCAAGGAGAAGAAACAUCUAGGUCUGUUCGUGGCGAAUUGCCUGGUAGACAUGUACUGCAAGUGUGGCGAGCUUGAGGAGGCUCGCAAGAUUUUCCACUCCAUGGGAACUCGGAGUGUUGUGUCCUACACCGCG
Molecule: long non-coding RNA, 938 nt
Filed under: Selaginella moellendorffii
Lineage: Eukaryota; Viridiplantae; Streptophyta; Lycopodiopsida; Selaginellales; Selaginellaceae
Description: long non-coding RNA (SMOE_LNC002331)
Source: RNAcentral